Molecule: ribosomal RNA, 751 nt
Filed under: uncultured fungus
Lineage: Eukaryota; Fungi
Description: eukaryotic LSU rRNA
Rfam family: 5.8S ribosomal RNA (bases 396-546)
Source: RNAcentral
CUUGGUCAUUUAGAGGAAGUAAAAGUCGUAACAAGGUUUUCUCCCCCUAUUGAAGCCUUCCGCAGCGACUUGAUAAAUAACUGCGUAGCCGCUUUGCAGACCACACCACGAAAGUGCUAGGACUUGAUAACUUCGAGUACAGCAGCCUAGAGUUCUAGGUCCACAGAUCAUGUAGUGGUGGUCAUUUAGAUUGAGAUAUGACCGGUCUUAACUAAUUCUAGUUAAGAAUCAACGUUCGUAGGUGAACCUGCGGAAGGAUCAUUAUUGAAAAAGGGAACCCUUCGGGUUCAACCUUAAACCCUUUGUCUUAAUUACCUGUUUCUUUGGCGGGCUUGCCGUCAGAAGUUUUCUCAAACCCAUUAUAAAUGUGUCAUCUGAAUAACAAAUAAAUCAAAAACUUUCAACAACGGAUCUCUUGGUUCUGGCAUCGAUGAGAACGCAGCGAAAUGCGAUAAGUAAUGUGAAUUGCAGAAUUCAGUGAACAUCGAAUCUUUGAACGCAUAUUGCGCCCUUUGGCAUUCCGAAGGGCAUCCUGUUCGAGCGUCAUUACACCCCUCAAGUCAAACUUUUUGGUUAACUUGUGUUGGGCCUUGCCGGAAGGCAUGCCUAAAAAUUAGCGAUGGUACGUUAACCACGGACGCACAAAUGUCGUUACGUAGGGGCACGGCACCAGUCUAAGAUUAAUUUCUCAAUGUUGACCUCGGAUCAGGUAGGAAUACCCGCUGAAUUAAGCAUAUCAAUAAGCGGAGGA